Long non-coding RNA from Mustela lutreola (European mink), 364 nucleotides. RefSeq lists it as uncharacterized. Lineage: Eukaryota; Metazoa; Chordata; Mammalia; Carnivora; Mustelidae. The record is from RefSeq and is a predicted model, not a curated record. The transcript has 3 exons.
CACACAACCACCACGGAGGAGUAUCCCGGGCCACAGCUUUCUGAUCAGAGGUUUGGGGAUCGGUGGAGAAAACCAGAACAUAUGCACCAGAGAGAGCACGAGCUGGGGGAGCAGCAGGCAAAGGGAGAGGGAGAAGCAGAUUCCCCAGUGAGCAGAGAGCUCUCAUGGGACUCGAUUCCAGGAUCCCAGGAUCACGACCUGAGCCGGAGACAGAUGUCUGACCAACCGAGCCACCCAGGCGCCCCUGGAAAGGUGCAGAGCUUACUUAAAAGAAAAAAGAAAAAAAAUUAGUGGCACCUGGCUGGCUCAGUCAGUGGAACAUACAUAGGACUCCUGAUCUUGGGGUGGUGAGUUCCAGCCCCAC